This 467-nucleotide ribosomal RNA is filed under the name uncultured bacterium. RNAcentral's name for it is "partial 16S ribosomal RNA". It matches the Rfam family "Bacterial small subunit ribosomal RNA", at positions 28 to 506 of the family's 1533-position model. The record is from RNAcentral.
GACGAACGCUGGCGGCGUGCUUAACACAUGCAAGUCGAACGGAAAGGCCCUGCUUUUGUGGGGUGCUCGAGUGGCGAACGGGUGAGUAACACGUGAGUAACCUGCCCCUGACUUUGGGAUAACUUCAGGCAACUGGGGCUAAUACCGGAUAGGAGCUCCUGCUGCAUGGUGGGGGUUGGAAAGUUUCGGCGGUUGGGUAUGGACUCGCGGCUUAUCAGCUUGUUGGUGGGGUGGUGGCUUACCAAGGCCUUGACGGGUAGCCGGCCUGAGUGGGUGACCGGCCAGAUUGGGACGGAGAUACGGCCCAGACUGCUACGGGCGGCAGGAGUGGGGAAUGUAGCACAAUGGGCGGAAGCCUGAUGCAGCAACGCCGCGUGCGUGAUGGCGGCCUUCGGGUUGUAAGCCGCUUUCGCCUGUGACGGAGCGUGAGUGACGGUACUGGGUAAAGAAGCACCGGCUAACUCCGU